GACGAACCGUCCAAACGUUAUUCGGAAUCACUGGGCUUACAGAGUUCGUAGGCGGUCCCAAAAGUUAGGUGUGAAAUCCCUCGGCUCAACCGAGGAACUGCGCUUAAAACUGUGGGACUCGAGGGAGAUAGAGGAAAGCGGAACUGAUGGUGGAGCGGUGAAAUGCGUUGAUAUCAUCAGGAACACCGGUGGCGAAGGCGGCUUUCUGGGUCUUACCUGACGCUGAGGAACGAAAGCGUGGGGAGCGAACAGG
RNAcentral lists this ribosomal RNA (253 nucleotides) under uncultured bacterium. RNAcentral's name for it is "partial 16S ribosomal RNA". It matches the Rfam family "Bacterial small subunit ribosomal RNA", at positions 524 to 776 of the family's 1533-position model. The record is from RNAcentral.